This 51-nucleotide ribosomal RNA is filed under the name uncultured bacterium. RNAcentral describes it as "partial 16S ribosomal RNA". The record is from RNAcentral.
ACCUACCGACGAAGGGGGCGACUUACCACGGUGAGAUUCAUGACUGGGGUG